This 195-nucleotide small nuclear RNA is filed under the name Pongo abelii (Sumatran orangutan). It matches the Rfam family "7SK RNA", at positions 1 to 141 of the family's 331-position model. Rfam says of the family: 7SK was discovered as an abundant small nuclear RNA in the mid-70s but a possible function has only recently been suggested. Two independent studies have found that 7SK RNA binds the CDK9/cyclin T complex (known as elongation factor P-TEFb). The record is from RNAcentral. Lineage: Eukaryota; Metazoa; Chordata; Mammalia; Primates; Hominidae.
GGAUGUGAAGGUGAUCUGGCUGUGACAUCUGUCACCCCAUUGAUCGCCAGGGUUGAUUCAGCUGAUCUGGCUGGCUAGGCGGGUGUCCCCUUCCUCCCUCACAGUUCCAUGUGCAUCCCUCCAGCAACCCUCCCACCUCAGCCUGCUGAGUAGCUGGGACCAUGGGCACACACCACCCACCCGGCUAAUUUUGUU